This 73-nucleotide transfer RNA is filed under the name Legionella pneumophila. RNAcentral describes it as "tRNA-Lys". It matches the Rfam family "tRNA". Rfam says of the family: Transfer RNA (tRNA) molecules are approximately 80 nucleotides in length. Their secondary structure includes four short double-helical elements and three loops (D, anti-codon, and T loops). The record is from RNAcentral. Lineage: Bacteria; Pseudomonadati; Pseudomonadota; Gammaproteobacteria; Legionellales; Legionellaceae.
GGGCCGUUAGCUCAGUUGGUAGAGCAGGAGACUCUUAAUCUCAGGGUCAUAGGUUCGAAUCCUAUACGGACCA